CAAUUUAAGUUAAACAUGAUUAUUCUGUCGAUUUUCCUGUAUUUUAUUUUGGCGGGAUAGCCUGUACUCGCAUUGCACUAUGGGUAGCGGAAAAUCCCGUUUCUGGGACAUGUGCUUCUAAUGUUCAAACUGUGAUCCUCCUGUGUCUUAACAUCUCAUUAAAACCUCCGAAACCAAAAGUCCUGCUGGGGCCCACAGGAUUGCCGGAGACAUUCCCGACUACUGCUGGGUGAAGGCGGGAUACGCCCUCCCCCAUCUAGGCAGCCGCCCAGUGAACAGCUUAGCAAGCUCUACUUCCCGGGGUUUGGCAGAUCAAGCGAGUGUCGCCUCAUAUGGAUCUCGCUGAGCUAGCAAGCGCCGCGGCGAAGGCUGCCGUUUUCUGCACUGAGGCUGAUCUCAUACUCCGUGGCAGGAAACAGACUGGACAAGGUGUAGUUUGUCACAUCGCUGUCAAUCAUCACACUGUCCACCCGACCUGCAGGGGACAAUAGAGACACCAAAGCAUCAAUCUGUCCAAAGCGUCGCUCAUCAAAGGGUAGAAACCUCUCACAAACGGAGCCACCAAAGGAAAGGAUGUAGCGAAAGUAAUUCAAGAGGACAAUUAAAUCCAUGACAGGACCUUCGCUUUCGGAGACAAAACCUGAGCUACUGUCAAAGAGACGGGAGAUAGCACUGUUUCCCAGAAGCAACUUAAAUAAAUAAACCAAUAAAAGAAUGAAUAAAUCCUUUACUUGGAUCUAAAGUUCAAGCUCAAGUUGUAAAUAAGUCUUUUACAAUGACUCUCUAUCCCUCCCGUGGGACAUAGACAGACUUUUGGAGUGACCUUGUAUGCCGGACCUCAUUGUAACAGAGCUAAAAGAGCCUCCGACUGAAGAUACUCCAUUGUUUCUCGAGUGUAGAAUGUACAUGUUUGGCAGAGUUUUCCUGUUAAAACUAUUUUCUAACUUUCUUUCUAUGCCUCAGUGCUUCACUUUUUCAUAGUCGAUUUAGCCUGAAAACAAAAUGACAUUAAAAAGUAGAUGAUGUGCUGCUGAGCGUUUGUCUAAAGAAAGUUUUGAAUAAAAUGAACAUCUCUGACAUAUUUAAGGAAUUGGAUAAAGAGGAGAACUAGACAGUAAUAAAAGAAAAUAAACACACAUCAUGUAUAAAAAAACUAUAGAGAUAUCAAUGCAAAUAGUCAAAAACGUAACAUUUCCCAAAUCACUGCUUGAUAUCCGACUAUAAUUGAGUACUGUUCUUAUUUACAAAGUAAAAUGACAAAUAAAAAGGAAAAAAAAA
This is a long non-coding RNA of Oryzias melastigma (Indian medaka), 1278 nucleotides long. RefSeq lists it as uncharacterized. NCBI's taxonomy places the organism in Eukaryota, Metazoa, Chordata, Actinopteri, Beloniformes, Adrianichthyidae. The record is from RefSeq and is a predicted model, not a curated record. The transcript is spliced from 4 exons.